GGCGGAUGUAGCCAAGUGGAUCAAGGCAGUGGAUUUGUGAAUCCCCAGCC
Molecule: transfer RNA, 50 nt
Filed under: Cathormion umbellatum
Lineage: Eukaryota; Viridiplantae; Streptophyta; Magnoliopsida; Fabales; Fabaceae
Description: partial tRNA-His
Source: RNAcentral